This 301-nucleotide ribosomal RNA is filed under the name uncultured bacterium. RNAcentral describes it as "partial 16S ribosomal RNA". It matches the Rfam family "Bacterial small subunit ribosomal RNA", at positions 509 to 807 of the family's 1533-position model. The record is from RNAcentral.
CAGCAGCCGCGGUAAUACGAAGGGUGCAAGCGUUACUCGGAAUUACUGGGCGUAAAGCGUGCGUAGGUGGUGGUUUAAGUCCGUUGUGAAAGCCCUGGGCUCAACCUGGGAAUUGCAGUGGAUACUGGGUCACUAGAGUGUGGUAGAGGAUAGUGGAAUUUCCGGUGUAGCAGUGAAAUGCGUAGAGAUCGGAAGGAACAUCUGUGGCGAAGGCGACUAUCUGGGCCAACAUUGACACUGAGGCACGAAAGCGUGGGGAGCAAACAGGAUUAGAUACCCCCGUAGUCCCUGUCUCUUAUAC